RNAcentral lists this ribosomal RNA (253 nucleotides) under uncultured bacterium. Its description in RNAcentral is "partial 16S ribosomal RNA". It matches the Rfam family "Bacterial small subunit ribosomal RNA", at positions 524 to 776 of the family's 1533-position model. The record is from RNAcentral.
UACAGAGGUGGCAAGCGUUGUUCGGAAUUACUGGGCGUAAAGGGCGCGUAGGCGGUCCUACAAGUCCCGCGUGAAAGCCCCCGGCUCAACUGGGAGGGUGCGCCGAAGACUGGAAGGCUUGAGUAUGGGAGAGGUAAGCGGAAUUCCUGGUGUAGCGGUGAAAUGCGUAGAUAUCAGGAGGAACACCUGCGGUGUAGACGGCUUACUGGACCAUAACUGACGCUGAGGCACGAAAGCGUGGGUAGCAAACAGG